AAAAUUAGAGUGUUCAAAGCAGGCAGAUCCAAUUUUCUGCCACCGAAUACAUUAGCAUGGGAUAAUGGAAUAGGACCCUGUCCUCCUAUUUUCAGUUGGUUUUGGCAGCGCGAGGACUAGGGUAAUGAUUAAUAGGGAUAGUUGGGGGCAUUAAUAUUUAAUUGUCAGAGGUGAAAUUCUUGGAUUUAUGAAAGAUUAACUUCUGCGAAAGCAUCUGCCAAGGAUGUUUUCAUUAAUCAAGAACGAAAGUUAGGGGAUCGAAGACGAUCAGAUACCGUCGUAGUCUUAACCAUAAACGAUGCCGACCAGCGAUUAGGAGACGUUGAAUACAAAACACCACCAUCGGUUGCGGUCAUCCUUGGCGUCUCGGUUUCGGCCGGGGCGCGGGGAUGGCUUAGCCCGGUGGCACCGGUGAA
This 416-nucleotide ribosomal RNA is filed under the name Acanthamoeba sp. Its description in RNAcentral is "SSU rRNA". It matches the Rfam family "Eukaryotic small subunit ribosomal RNA", at positions 762 to 1116 of the family's 1831-position model. RNAcentral also lists the same sequence under 3 other names. The record is from RNAcentral. Lineage: Eukaryota; Discosea; Longamoebia; Acanthamoebidae.